Ictidomys tridecemlineatus (thirteen-lined ground squirrel) is the source of this 72-nucleotide non-coding RNA. The record is from Rfam. NCBI's taxonomy places the organism in Eukaryota, Metazoa, Chordata, Mammalia, Rodentia, Sciuridae.
UGGGGUGUGGCUCAGUGGUAAAGCGCUUGCCUGACCUGCAUGAGGUCCUGGGUUCCAGCCCCAGCCCUGCAA